GCUUGUCAAUAGUUCCUAACAUCCCCUGGGAUACACAGUUCUCAAGGUAUAAUCAUGAGUGAAAAGAAGAUUGAGGGAGGAACUACUACUACCACUCUACUUACUGGUUACAAGCUGUGCACAGAGGAUGUACAACACUGCUCAAAUGGAUCGGUGUGAACAGCCUGUCAUUAGUUCCUAACAUCCCCUGGGAUACAUGGUUCACAAGGUAGUAUCAUGAAUGAUAAGAAGAUUGAGGAAGGAACUACUACUACCACUCCACUUACCGGUUACAAGCUGUGCACAGAGGAUAUACAACACUGCUCAAAUGGAUGGGUGUGAACAGCUUUUCAUGAGUUCCUAACAACACCCGAGGUACACUUUACAAGGUAUCAUCAUGACUUCUAGUACCACUCUGCCUGCUGGUUACAACCUGUGCACGGAGGAUACGUAGGUCACAAUCAACUGGCUACUAGGUUUACAGUGGAUGUUUAACAGAUUCUGAAGGCUACUGAGUGUGUGCAAUGACCUGAUGAAAUCUGCCCAGACCAGUCAGAUGUAGGCCCUAGAACCAUUGGUGAAAGGAACCUUCCGAGACUGUCUCCAACGUGGAGCCCAUUUCAUAAAGAGUUGUAAAAUCUACUGUAACUUUGCCAUUAUGGUGACUACCAUGGUAACAUGGCUUAACAGCCAAUCACAAUCAAGGAUAACAUGGUACAUGUAGUUGCAUUAAUGACAAAGUUACAAUAGUUGUAACUCUUUAUGAAAUGGGCCAAAGGUCUAGUCCCAGCCGUACAUCAUCCUAUUCUGCGCAAUCUGGCCCUAGCUGAAGCCCUGGUUCCUCUGGUGGUGUGAUUUGCUGUCCUCAACGGGCCCCUGGGAUAGUCACAGCCCAACAUCAUCCUAAUCUACACAGUCUGGCCCUAGCUAAAGCCCUGGUUCCUCUGGUGGUGUGAUUUGCUGUCCUCAACGGGACCCUGGGAUAGUCACAGCCCAACAUCAUCCUAAUCUACACAGUCUGGCCCUAGCUAAAGCCCUGGUUCCUCUGGUGGUGUGAUUUGCUGUCCUCAACGCUGCCCCAGGUCUAGUCACAGUCCUUCAUCAUCCUAAUAUGUGCAGCAUGCUGGCCCUUCCUGAAGCCUUGGUUCCUCUGGUGGUGUGACUUGCUGUCCUCAAUGGGCCCCUGGUCUAGUCUCAGCCCUACAUCAUCCUAAGCUGUGCAGUCUAGCCCUAGCUGAAGCCCUGGCUCCUUUGGUGGUUUGACUUGCUGUCCUCAACGGGACCCUGAUCUAGUCUCAGACUUACAUCAUCCUAAGCUGUGCAGUCUAGCCCUUCCUGAAGCCCUGGUUCCUUUGGUGGUUUGACUUGCUGUCCUCAACGGGCCCCUGGUCUAGUCUCAGCCCUACAUCAUCCUAAGCUGUGCAGUCUAGCCCUAGCUGAAGCCCGGGUUCCUUUGGUGGUUUGACUUGCUGUCUACAACGGGACCCUGAUCUAGUCUCAGCCCUACAUCAUCCUAAGCUGUGCAGUUUGGCCCUAGCUGAAGCCCGGGUUCCUUUGGUGGUUUGACUUGCUGUCUACAACGGGACCCUGAUCUAGUCUCAGCCCUACAUCAUCCUAAGCUGUGCAGUCUGGCCCUAGCUGAAGCCCUGGUUUGCUUUAUUUAACACAGCCUCGGGUCUAGUCACAGCCCUACAUCAUCCUAAGCUGUGCAGUCUGGCCCGAGCUGAAGCCCUGGUUCCUUUGGUGGUUUGACUUGCUGUCUACAACGGGACCCUGAUCUAGUCUCAGCCCUACAUCAUCCUAAGCUGUGCAGUCUGGCCCUAGCUGAAGCCCUGGUUCCUUUGGUGGUUUGACUUGGUGUCUACAAUGGGACCCUGAUCUAGUCUCAGCCCUACAUCAUCCUAAGCUGUGCAGUCUGGCCCUAGCUGAAGCCCUGGUUCCUUUGGUGGUUUGACUUGGUGUCUACAACGGGACCCUGAUCUAGUCUCAGCCCUACAUCAUCCUAAGUUGUGCAGUCUGGCCCUAGCUGAAGCCCUGGUUCCUUUGGUGGUGUGAUUUGCUAUCUUCAUCAGUCAGGUUGCCAUGGAAAUAAGAAAUUCUGCUCUUCCGGAAAAGAUGGAUAAGAACAGCUCUCAGCCUCAUGAUGUCACAGACCUUGCCAGUCACAUCAAAGACAAGGUGGCAAUUACAACAGAGAUGAUGCUAGACGGGGGACGAACAGAUUCUGCCCUCCCGGUUAAGUUGCCGAACUUCAGGGACAUUUUUACUCUUCAACAGAUGCUAUAAAUGAGACAGUGAAGGUUAUGAAAGCACUGGUUGAACUUAUAUCACUCAGUGUGGAUGCAUCCCCUAACCAUCCUUCAAGAAUAAAUGAGAGAGAUGUUCUACCAGAGACAAGGAUUUGACAUCAAUCUUGGAUCUUUAUCUACAGGCAGGAACGGCUGGUAAACACUGGAACGGCUGGUUUGAACAGUUAAUUGGUAUUUUCGUGAAGUGUGAUAAAAUAAGAGAUGCCAGUCAUUAUCUACACUCUCUGUCUGGUGUUAACCAUGUUCAAAAUCCCAUUUGGUGAACGGGAAAAAACCCUGAAUUUCAAUGUGAAAUAUCUUUUAUUUUUAUGGCCUGAAAAAUGCUUGUUAUUUGUGCAUUUCACACUACAAGCACCACCAAAUUCAACAUCAUUAGUAAUUAAUUGUAAAGUAGACCAAUUUUUGGCCUUAGAAUUACAAAAUAGGACAGGUUGGGAGUGAGAUUUGAAAAAAAAUCAGAGAGUUUAUCUGCUAAAUGAUUCACAGGUGCAGGGGAAAAAAAGGACUAAACUAUUAAAGGAUUGCAAUUAUAAUUGAAUCACCAACCAAUUUAUUAAUUCAAAUCAAGAUCAUUUUACAUACACCAGGACCUGAUCAGAACAUAGUAUCUUUAUAUUUUAUUUGCAAUCCAUCACCAGGGUCCAUUUUCUAGUAUUCAAAUUCAGGUUUUCUCUUUAUUUUAAAACAUUUCUAGUGUCAAAUAUGUGACUUGCAUAUGCAUUCACUUCUCACGAACCCAUAUUUGUAAUGUAUUUUAUGACUAUUUGUAACUCCAAAGAGCAGGUCCAAGCUAUUAUUUCUUUGCUGAUACUCCUAGCAGGGUUCUAGCCAUGCCAGUCGAUGCCGCCCGGCAAGGCAAAUUACCGUCUGGCUCUUGGGUUAAAAUUUGAUGCAUCGCCGGGCACAUUUUUUUCCAGAAAAACAGACCUAAAAUUUGCUGAAUAUGUACCAAUAUGAUUGUAUUUCAAGCUAGUAAAGUCCUAGUUUUUGCACAAUGCAAAUUCUGCAUGUAUUAUUUUGCCAAAGACACUCACCGUUGAUCUCAAGCAAAUAUAUUACAUUGUGAAAUGUCCGCUCACACUGCUUCGCAGCUUUGUCUCUUUGUAUCUACCCGUCACUAAAUUGGUCCAAGCAAGAACCCUGGUUUAGAGUAUCUUAAAUAUGUAUUUUAGUGUUACAUGAUCUUGUUUGUAAAUUGUAAAAAAAAAUGCUUAAGGCUGGAAAUACUUUGCAAGUAGAAUUAAGAUGAUGUGGUAAUUAGGCUUGGGAGAUAUUUGUGGAGUUGACUCAGUUUGCAACAUUAUCUUUACUAAGUGUGUAUAAUUUGUGUUUAUAUUGUGUUGACUAUUCUGCAAAAGUGGAUCCAAAGGUUUUCCAGAGUUUUUCCCUAUUGAGUUUUAUCUCUGGUUUUUUACCCUGGACCUACUUGUCGUAGAUUAUUCAACAAAGGGGGGGGGGGCGAGGGCUUAUCUUGGACGUUGAUGACCACUCAAUCGCAAUGAAAAUUGGUAUGCAUGUAUCUUGUUCUCACAAUAACUCAGGAAUUUCACGACUGCGCCAAAUAUUGUGAAUGUGUCGCUUGACAACUUUUAUUUCGAGUCUUGCACAACUCUGAGCCCCUUUCGCAAAAAUCGGACACAUGUCAACCCCCAAAUUGAUUGAUUACGUGUACAAAAUCAAAUCAAAUUGUGUUUUCAACCAAAAGUCAUAAAUUUCUGAUUAUUUUUUAUUUUACUGUUUAAAAUUGACUUUUUUAAAAUGCUGUUUAUGAUUGCAAAAGAGUCCCAAACUCUUUGAAAAACAACGAAAUAUGUAAGAAAUUCACAAAACAACAAAAUGCAUAGGACAUUAAUUCUGAUUUAGCUAAUUUUUUGUAGAUAUAAUUGUAAGAAAUAAAUAGCAUUCUAUUUUACCUAUUGAAUUAUAGGCAAAAACAUAAUUUCAUACUCAUUUGCAUAAUUCUUUGUGAAAAUUUUACUACACAGUCGUGUAGUUUACAUCCGGCUCUAUAGGUACAUGCAUAUUUUCACUGCGAUCGCGCAAUCAGCGUCCAAGAUCUGAAGUAAAAAUCUGACUUGAAAUGGCCCUGUUAAAAUAGGAAUAAGGGUUCAGCUUCAGACUUUGAUUAUGUACAUGUAAGCAUAUCGGGGGGGGGGGGCCUGAGGUUAAGGUCAAAGGUCAUAUAGUUCAUUACAAACAAUAACUCUUUCUCAUUAAUUUCAGAACUAUUCGAUAAUUUAUCUUAAAUUUUGGUUAAUACAUCUAAUUGAGUAAGGAUGAUUUGUUUAGAUUUCUAGGUCACAAGGUCAAAGGUCAUUAUUUCUAAAUAUUAGAAGUUGGAUGCAUGAUAUAUUCUAGAUCUGGCAAUAGUAGAGCAGUCAAAGAUCCAUCUGUUUUUUCACAUUUUACAUGUAUAGUGCCAGUUUUAUGAGGGUUUUCUUAAUAAGAAAAAAAAUCAUUAUAUAGCAUUUUGAAAGUGUCUAUGUUUUCAGAUCAGUUAAAUUUGUGAAAAGUAUAUGACCUUUAUAGAAAAACAAAUCUGACGAGUUUCACAAAAAGAUAAACCUAAAAUUGUUAAUGUGCAUAUGAUAUUUGAUGCUCAGUCUCAUUGAUAAAUACUUGAAUAAUACUUAGUAGAACGCACCCUCUGAGCAUGAUCCAAAUGAUACAAUGAUCUGUUAUUUUCAAUACAUAACUGGGAUUUAGGAAGGUUUCUUUUACCCAUUCUUAAAUAAGCCAGUUCACGGUUAGCUCGUGAUCAACUUUUCUCAAAUGACCUUUGUGAUUUUUCAUUAGGAUAAGCACUAUCAUUUUCAAAUGUAGAUGUUGCGUAAGCUUUACCGGUAGAGUAUUCAAAUUCUAAGAACAAAAGGCAUUGUAUAGACCAAGUGACUAGAAUAGUACAUCAGGGAUAAAGUUUGGAAAUCUGUUUUAUUGUCUGCCUUUGGCACAUUUGACUAUUGUUUAGGCUACUGUCAAAUACCAGUGAUUAUGAAGGCUCUAUUUAUUACUCUUCAGCUUGGAUGUGACAAAAUGAAUAUUUUGAAAGGAAUACAUGAAUAAUCGUCAAAUCACAAAUGCUUAUGUCAGUGAAUUUGAAAGCCACCUUCAUGGUUUAUCUCAAAUGACCUUUUUCUGCUCGUGGGCAGUUUACAACCGUGAACAGGCUUAUUAUUUGUGAAAGUCUCCUCUGAUUUUCUCUUAUGUAAGAUGUACUUUUAUGUCAGAUAGCUUGGACCUGCCCUUUUAUUUAUUAUUGUCUGUACUGUAUACUUGCUUUAUAUUCAUGAUCUUAUUUUUCUAUCUUGAAAUAAAAUGCAAGACCGGCAGCCAAGAAGGUUCAUUCAAGUUGGAGGACCAUAGCAGCUGACCUCAUCCCAUUGUUGGUGGUAGGCCCUGAACCUCACAAACAUGGCUUCCUGUCUGGUUUGAGCUGGGAUCUUCCUGCCAGAAUCACACAAUUAGUGACGUCACUACCCAGAGGACUAUUUUUCAGUGUGCAGAGAGAGGCACUGGACACUGCUGUGCAUGAUAUACAACUUCCCUAAUGUAGGUGCUUUAUUUGUCAAAUUUUAAUGGUAUUCUGUGUAGCCUUGUGUAUGUUAGACAAUGCCGUUGGUUUUCCAGCAAUUAUUACUCGGAGGGUAAUAAUCAUCGUGGAAAUAUUGGGAGCAACUUCUUCCACAUCAGCAUUUUUAUCCAUAUUUUACCUCAAUUGCCCUUUUUAAAUUCAUGAAAAUCUAUC
This is a long non-coding RNA of Lytechinus pictus (painted urchin), 6033 nucleotides long. RefSeq lists it as uncharacterized. The transcript has 7 exons. The record is from RefSeq and is a predicted model, not a curated record. NCBI's taxonomy places the organism in Eukaryota, Metazoa, Echinodermata, Echinoidea, Temnopleuroida, Toxopneustidae.